AAAUCUUUCCCGGUUGCAGCCGUGAAUAAUCAAGGGCAGAGACCAGUUAGAACGGUUCAGUGUGGAAAACGGGAAACCAAAAGCCCCUCUGAAUCCUGCGCACCGAGAUUCUCCCAAGGCAAGGCGAGGGGCUGCAUUGCAGGGUCCAGUUGCAGCGUUGGAAUACAAAUGCAGCAUUCCUAAGGCACACAUGACACCCAAAAUAUAACACCCACAUUGCU
RNAcentral lists this long non-coding RNA (221 nucleotides) under Homo sapiens (human). RNAcentral's name for it is "lncAB281.1". The record is from RNAcentral. Lineage: Eukaryota; Metazoa; Chordata; Mammalia; Primates; Hominidae.